UACGUAGGGUGCGAGCGUUAAUCGGAAUUACUGGGCGUAAAGCGUGCGCAGGCGGCUUCGCAAGUCAGACGUGAAAUCCCUGGGCUUAACCUGGGAAUGGCGUUUGAAACUACGGAGCUGGAGUGUGGCAGAGGGAGGUAGAAUUCCACGUGUAGCGGUGAAAUGCGUAGAUAUGUGGAGGAAUACCGAUGGCGAAGGCAGCCUCCUGGGCCAACACUGACGCUCAUGCACGAAAGCGUGGGGAGCAAACAGG
This 253-nucleotide ribosomal RNA is filed under the name uncultured bacterium. RNAcentral describes it as "partial 16S ribosomal RNA". It matches the Rfam family "Bacterial small subunit ribosomal RNA", at positions 524 to 776 of the family's 1533-position model. The record is from RNAcentral.